Molecule: ribosomal RNA, 240 nt
Filed under: uncultured bacterium
Lineage: Bacteria
Description: partial 16S ribosomal RNA
Rfam family: Bacterial small subunit ribosomal RNA
Source: RNAcentral
UGGCGAACGGGUGAGUAACGCGUGAGGAACCUGCCUCAAAGAGGGGGACAACAGUUGGAAACGACUGCUAAUACCGCAUAAGCCCACGGGUCGGCAUCGACCUGAGGGAAAAGGAGCAAUCCGCUUUGAGAUGGCCUCGCGUCCGAUUAGCUAGUUGGUGAGGUAACGGCCCACCAAGGCGACGAUCGAUAGCCGGACUGGGAGGUUGAACGGCCACAUUGGGACUGAGACACGGCCCAG